RNAcentral lists this long non-coding RNA (914 nucleotides) under Olea europaea subsp. europaea. The record is from RNAcentral. Lineage: Eukaryota; Viridiplantae; Streptophyta; Magnoliopsida; Lamiales; Oleaceae.
GUUUUCUUUUGGACGAGAGUAAAAUGAAGUUAAUGAAACUUUCACCUAUAACAGACUCACAAGUCGACAGACAUCAGUCUCGUGACAGCUUUGUCAACUUGAUGAGCAAAUCUAUUUCAAGAAAUUUUCUCAUCUGUAAUUUUUGACCCCCAACAAAGCAAAAUUUUUACCCCCCUGGAUUUGUCGUAUUACAACCCAUUUCAUAAUCCAGUUGAAAAGUUCCAAUCUUGGUUAUAAAUUUAUGACCUGCUGAGAAAAUGAUGGGUUGAUCUUUCAUCAAGAAUAAUUAAGCCCAGGUCACGAACAAAUCCAUUAAAAUACUCAAGAACCAUCAACUCAGUUCACUCUUCAGCCUAAGCCUGAGCCUGAACAGCACCACCAGCCACCACCGCAGAAACCGCCUCCAUCAGCAGACCCCAAAAUCCAAUUCAAAGAUUAGAACUCAAUAAUAUUAUAGGAAAGCCCUUUGAGGAUGUGAGUUCAAAAUACACAUUUGGGAAAGAAUUGGGGAGGGGGCAAUUUGGGGUAACUUACGUCUGCACUGAGAAUUCAACUGGCCACACCUAUGCCUGUAAAUCUAUAUACAAGUCUUAUAAGAAAUUCAUUUUUAGGCUUUCUUUUAUAUUGGGAAGUGCUUAUGAAUACUGAUUUUGGGCUAUCUGUUUUUAUUGAAGAGGGUAAGUAAGAAUUCAAGUUUAUCUAUUAUUGAAUAUAAAUAUUGAAUUUUGGAGCAUAGUAUUUGCCAUCAAGAUAGAGAACUUAUGGUUAUAACCUCUUGAUUGGUGCUUAAAUAAUAGGACUUCUAUAGGUUAUUUACUCUGGUUAGGCUAUGUAAAUAUUCAGUAUGAAAGCUUUAAGAUUGGUGCUUAAUUAUCAUUUUGAUUGUAUGAUAAUGGAUCUUCAAUGUAGUAUAU